UAGGGAAUCUUCGGCAAUGGACGGAAGUCUGACCGAGCAACGCCGCGUGAGUGAAGAAGGUUUUCGGAUCGUAAAGCUCUGUUGUAAGAGAAGAACGAGUGUGAGAGUGGAAAGUUCACACUGUGACGGUAUCUUACCAGAAAGGGACGGCUAACUACGUGCCAGCAGCCGCGGUAAUACGUAGGUCCCGAGCGUUGUCCGGAUUUAUUGGGCGUAAAGCGAGCGCAGGCGGUUAGAUAAGUCUGAAGUUAAAGGCUGUGGCUUAACCAUAGUACGCUUUGGAAACUGUUUAACUUGAGUGCAAGAGGGGAGAGCGGAAUUCCAUGUGUAGCGGUGAAAUGCGUAGAUAUAUGGAGGAACACCGGUGGCGAAAGCGGCUCUCUGGCUUGUAACUGACGCUGAGGCUCGAAAGCGUGGGGAGCAAACAGGAUUAGAUACCCUGGUAGUCCACGCCGUAACGAUGAGUGCUAGGUGUUAGACCCUUUCCGGGGUUUAGUGCCGUAGCUAACGCAUUAAGCACUCCGCCUGGGGAGUACGACCGCAAGGUUG
This 549-nucleotide ribosomal RNA is filed under the name uncultured bacterium. RNAcentral's name for it is "bacterial SSU rRNA". It matches the Rfam family "Bacterial small subunit ribosomal RNA", at positions 355 to 896 of the family's 1533-position model. The record is from RNAcentral.